GUGUUCAACAACAAUCGAUCGCACGAAGAAAUCUAAAGUUUACCCGAUUAAACUUACGAAACUCUAAAAUAAUGAGUGAAUCUUACAGGACCAAACAUAACAAUGCAAACCCAACUACACUCUUUGUUGAACUAAAACCCAUGAUAAACCACUGAUCAAACCAUCCACUGUGACAAAACAUUCACAAUCCCUCACUAAUUAUAUACCAAAGUUACUAUUCUACAAUAAGAUAUGACAUACUUUUUGAAUGCUGAUGAUGAUGACGAUGAUGACCCAUAUUUGACAACUUAACUCUGAGACUAUAUACUAUGAAGUAAACAUCCUGACUGAGGUAAAGAAGUGGAUUGCAACGGCACUCAAAAUAAGAACAACUAAACUACCCACAUAAUUCUUAACUUACAAAGAAUAUAUUGAUACUAAAUGAGGACCAAGCCUACUUUACCUGGAAUAACACUUUAUCAACAACAGUAACUUCCUCCACAUUAAUUGUUUUCUAAAUCUAUUGUUAUGUCUGACCGCUACCCUUUCAUUACAAAAUAUUUUUUAUUAUUUUUUCUUUCAAAUGAGAUUAAUGUUAUAUUUUCUUUUCUUUAUUAACUGUAACUCAUUGUAUUUGUUUAGGAGAAUGUCUUAUAACAUCUGCUACUAAUUGGCUCUCUGGAAUCUGAUAAUUAGAUUUGGGCCUUUCCGGUUACUCUAAGUUAAGAUGUUAGCAUAGAUAGUGUUACAGUUCUAUCCCAACUCCUAUGAUCUAUGUUGUAUAAUAUAUUAUCUACUCUUUCAAACAUUCAAGUAUAGUAAUUUUAGAGCCUAGUUUUUAAGCACCUAGUCGAUGACAAGCAAAGAUCCAAUCCAGAAGCACAAUCAACCACAUCAACAAACCAAAGAACCCGCACAACAAAACUCAUACAACCAAUACCAAACUGAACCAACCCAGCCAAAAGGAUGAUUAAUAAUUAUAGACUAGUUGCUAUAACUACCGAUCCCCCCCCAACCAGGCCAGUCCAAUCCAGCACCAAUCAUACAAGCCCCGCCACGCAAACUCCUCGAUCCACCAAUGCAGCCGACCGCACCUCCAGACCAAAAUCCCCACCCCUCAUCUACCUGAGCCAGAAUGUCUAUAUCUAUUCUAAUAAUUUCAGGUUGUUCAUAAGGACUAAAAUGCGCCGUCUUUUCGUUACAUUUGUUUUUUUUUUAUAAUUUUUUAUUUUAAUAAAUUUACUGCUUUUACCUAAAAUAAGACCAUAUCAUUAUUUUACCUACAACCCCUAUUCACUAAUAAUUCCCUAAUCAGCUACAUAAUCAGAGAGAUCGUUCAUAGUGAUUCAGAGCAACACUAAUAUGACCUACCUACAGAUAAAUCAGUCUUUAUACAACUAUGUUUGAUGUUAUUCUCUUUAAAGGUAAGUAGGUACCUACCUAUUAAAAAUUAUAGAUAAUGUUCUGAAUAAGAAGAUGAUUAUAUCCUCUUAACUCCACGAGAAGCAUAGUCUUAUACACACACAACCCCUGACGAUGAUGAUGAUUAUAUCCUCCAACUCCACGAGAAACAGUCUUACACACAAACAACCCCUGAUGAUGAUAAUGAUUAUUUCCCCUUACUCCACGAGGAGCAUAUCUUAAAUACAUAUACAUAUACAACCCCUGCUGAUGAUGAUUAUUAUUUCCUCUCCAUGAGGAGCAUAGCCACAUACAACCCCUAAUCUUUUGUAAUUUUUUAAUGAGCUACAUAACAUUACUACAACCCCUACUUAUUAAGUACAUUUUAAUAAAUGGAUUAUUUCCAUUUCCUCAUCCUAACUUUAUCAACUACCUACCUAUCUAUCUUCACAAAUGCUUCCCUAUUACAUUCCGUUCCAAUACAAAACCUAGCCUCUUGCGCUUCCUAUUUCAUGAUAAAUAAUUCUUUCGUUUAUAAGUUCGAUCACUCCACGGCAACAAAUUGUGAUUAUAUCAAGGAUAUAAUCACUUUCCUACCCCUAGUAUGUAACAAAUCAUUACGAACAA
Molecule: non-coding RNA, 2007 nt
Organism: Plutella xylostella (diamondback moth)
Lineage: Eukaryota; Metazoa; Arthropoda; Insecta; Lepidoptera; Plutellidae
Source: RefSeq, a predicted model, not a curated record